This 253-nucleotide ribosomal RNA is filed under the name uncultured bacterium. RNAcentral's name for it is "partial 16S ribosomal RNA". It matches the Rfam family "Bacterial small subunit ribosomal RNA", at positions 524 to 776 of the family's 1533-position model. The record is from RNAcentral.
UACGGGGGGGGCAAGCGUUGUUCGGAAUUACUGGGCGUAAAGGGCUCGUAGGUGGCCAACUAAGUCAGACGUGAAAUCCCUCGGCUUAACCGGGGAACUGCGUCUGAUACUGGAUGGCUAGAGAUUGGGAGAGGGAUGCGGAAUUCCAGGUGUAGCGGUGAAAUGCGUAGAUAUCAAGAGGAACACCUGAGGUGAAGACGGGUUGCUGGGCUGACACUGACGCUGAGGCGCGAAAGCUAGGGUAGCAAACGGG